Non-coding RNA from Aedes albopictus (Asian tiger mosquito), 47 nucleotides. The record is from Rfam. Lineage: Eukaryota; Metazoa; Arthropoda; Insecta; Diptera; Culicidae.
CAAACGGUCCUUUUCAGGACUACCAAACAAAUCCACAAGAGUUGUUU